Selaginella moellendorffii is the source of this 210-nucleotide long non-coding RNA. RefSeq lists it as uncharacterized. The transcript has 2 exons. The record is from RefSeq and is a predicted model, not a curated record. NCBI's taxonomy places the organism in Eukaryota, Viridiplantae, Streptophyta, Lycopodiopsida, Selaginellales, Selaginellaceae.
GCGACCCUUGAUAACAACAAGGCCAUCCUAAUGUCCACCAUGUUUGCCGCGGGCUGUGCAGCAAUUCUUACCUGCCUGAUGCUAGUUUGAGGCCUUUCUAGUUUUUACUCUACAAACAUUGUUGUAGAGUUCGCUCGCUCGCUGAGUUUUGUUUUUUUUUUUACUCUGCUCGACGUGGAGUUCGCGAAAUAAAAUUGUCCUAUCACCCUC